AUUGAACGCUGGCGGCAGGCCUAACACAUGCAAGUCGAGCGAGCGGCGGACGGGUGAGUAAUGUAUGGGGACUGCCCGAUAGAGGGGGAUAACUACUGGAAACGGUGGCUAAUACCGCAUACUAUCGGAUAACCCAUAUGGGAUUAGCUAGUAGGUGGGGUAAAGGCUCACCUAGGCCACGAUCUCUAGCUGGUCUGCGAGGAUGAUCGGCCAGACUGCGACUGGGACCGGGCCCAGACUGCUACGGAGGCAGCAGUGGGGAAUAUUGCGAAAUGGGCGCAAGCCUGAUGCAGUCAUGCGGCGUGGAUGAAGACGGCCUUAGGGUUGUACAGUACUGUCAGCGGGGAGGCGUUACACGCAGAAGAAGCACCGGCUAGCGCCAUGCAAGCAGCCGCGGUAAUUC
This 403-nucleotide ribosomal RNA is filed under the name uncultured bacterium. RNAcentral describes it as "partial 16S ribosomal RNA". It matches the Rfam family "Bacterial small subunit ribosomal RNA", at positions 29 to 526 of the family's 1533-position model. The record is from RNAcentral.